GGGGGCGACCUGGCUUCGACGUGGUCGGUUCUCCGGCAGAGCUGCAAGCGGAGGUCUCCGGUCGGCCUCCUAAAACAACCGGAAACCAAUGCAAGUGCGGAUAAUCAACUCGCACUCGCCGCUUAGUUCUUAGGGACUAAGUGACGUGUCGCCCCGAGUUGGGCCCGUGGCCCGGAGGCGGCAUCAACUAACGGGCUGGCGCUUAGGGAGAGUCACUCGCCCGAAAGCGUGAGAUCCAAAGGAGGACUAGCCCGAACGGUUGGUCGGUCCCCACCGGCCGCCGGGCGAAUUUCAAGGGGUACCUAAGCUUGUAGACGCUCUGACCGGUGCGAUUGCGGACGCGGGUUCGAUUCCCGCCGCCUCCAUAA
RNAcentral lists this transfer-messenger RNA (368 nucleotides) under Actinomycetota bacterium. It matches the Rfam family "transfer-messenger RNA". From Rfam's summary of the family: Bacterial tmRNA, also known as 10Sa RNA or SsrA, is named for its dual tRNA and mRNA-like properties. Its role is to liberate the mRNA from a stalled ribosome. The record is from RNAcentral. Lineage: Bacteria; Bacillati; Actinomycetota.